GUGAAGCGGGCAACUGCCCAAACCCAUUUGAGGUACAAGAUUAGUUUUAGGGUUCUGCAAAUCCUUAACUAGGGGUGGGCAAAAUAUCCGACCCGACCCGAUCCGAUCCGACCCGACCCGAAAAAUUUCGGAUUCGGAUCGGAUCGGGUUAUAAAGGAAACCCGAUCGGAUGAAGAUGGUGAAACCCGAUCGGGUUGUGAUCGGAUCGGGUCAAAUCCGAUCCGAUCCGCAAACCCGAUCGGGUUGCUUUAAAAACAAAAAAACCUAAAUCUAAACACACACGCCACACACAAACAACCUAAAAAAACCUAAAUCUUUCUCUUCACUCUCUUCUUUCUCUUCUUUCUCACUCUCCGUGUUCUUUCUCUUCACUCUCUUCUUUCUCUUCUUUCUCACAACUCACACAAACAACUCUCUUUUUUCUCUUCACUGUCUUCUUUAUCUUCUUUCUCGCAACAAAACUACAGACGGUUAGCACAGCAGCGGGCCACAUGCAGCACACCACUCGACCAGAUCUGCUGCACUGACGACAGGAUCUGCUUGCUGCUGCAUCGACGGUUGCUGCACUUCACUUCGAUCGGAUCUGCUUUUCUGGUAGCCACCGACAAAACCCGUGAAGCCAUGAGCCAUUGACGAAACCCGUUGCCGCUUGAUCCAUCGGCUGCUGCUUGACUCGCGCGAAGCGAUCCAUGGUUGUUCUUCUAACGAGACCGAGACUGAGAUUCAUGACACCAAGUCCUCCAAGCUCACAACUUUUUCAAUUCUAUUUCAGUUUAUUUUUUUUUUAUGACAGUCACUGGAAAGUGGAAAUGGACUAAAAUGAACUAAUUGCAUAAAAGUGAUCUUGUAAUUAUUAAAUAAUUAUUAAACAAUCCAAAAUUAACACAAAUGACUCUUUUUUGUCCUUAACCCGAAUUGACCCGAAAUUGAUCCGAAUUUUAGAUCCGAUCCGACCCGACCCGAAUAUAACCCGAUCCGAUCCGAUCCGAUCUAAAAUUCGGGUUGAGUUCGGAUGAGUUUCUCUCCAACCCGAUGAACCCGAAAUCCGAUCGGGUUGAUCCGAACCCGAUUUUGCCCACCCCUAUCCUUAACCGUAUUUGGCCUGACGUGAGCGAUUUCCCUAAAGCAACCACCAGUUUUAUAAUUGUGUGUGACUACAGCUGCAGCAGCGACGCCGGAUUAAAUUUUCAAAGAUGAUUGUGGUGACUUGUGGAUUUGUUGUGGUCGUAUUGAAGAAAUGGAAAGGAUUGUGUAAACCAUCAUUAAGGUUAGUGAAAUUUUAAUGUGAGAUUUGUGACGUGAAUCAUUUGUAGCUAAUAAUAUAGUUGGUGCGAAAUUAGAUUUCACAUGGAUAAUGGGAAGAUAUGAGAGUGCAGGGGGUAAAUUUUUAAAUUAAAUUUCUGGAAAUUUUAUGAACAAUGUAGUAAUAUAAAGGAGUUUUUUACUAUUAUUUUUAUGUUAAUAAACACGUGUAUUGAAAUUGUAAGAGAGAGGGAUUUCGGCAACAGAAAUUCAGGCUAGUGGCAGCUGAACCUGGAAUAAUUGAGUUGAAUAUUGUUGCUGCAAAUAAUGUGGUGGGAAGUCAGAUUUCCUAUAGAGAAGUAGAAAAUAGUGGAGUAAAGGGGAAAAAAAUAUUGAAAAUGAUUUAGGGAUUAUACUCUAGCAGCUGAACACGGCCCAUUUAAAGCUGUAUGAUUGAUGAGAAACUUGUGGUUUGCUCUGUGUGUUUGCCAUAUUUCCUUUUCUUUAUCUUCAGGCUAACUAUGCCUUCGGCUGCAACUUUGGAGAAGCAUCUGCCAUAUUUCCUUUUCUUUAUCUUCAGGCUGACUAUGCCUUCGGCUGCAACUUUGUAGAAGCAUCUACAAAGUGACAAGUCAGAUGUGAAUCACACAGAAUUUUUGAAAAUGAUAUCAUAAUUUCUUGUGCUUGUAUAAUAACAAUGGGACUAAUUAGUUUAGAUGUUUUGUAUGUUUUUAAGUUAAUGUAAUAAAAAUUGAAUGUAUGUCUGGCGAUUCAACAGUAAGGGGGAAGUUAGUAAGUUGUACGAUGAACAUGUGUGGAAAGUACAAACAGGAAAAGUGAAAUUGCAGCAAGUAAUAAAAUGAAGUUAAGUGCAAGCAUUUAGAUGGUGAUACAGGGGAAAUGGUACAUGUUUACAGCUCGUUGUACAUAUGUUUCAUUGACUGUAUGCUAAUCUGACAAGCAUUUAACUGUAUGUUAAUGUAACAAAUAGCUGAUCAGUUAACAAUUGCCCAUGUCAUAACAGUUUCACUACAAUCCAUAUUUGGCCGAAACUCUUAUUGCUGGACAUGACUUCUUGCAAGUACUAUCAAGCAUCACUGAUGACGACUCCAUAAGUAAGUUUGUCACACAAUAAUUCAUAAUUGCAUUUUCACUUACUCUUUUUGCUAUUUGAAAUUGCAGGCUUGUAAAGGUGACUGUGUCCCAACAUGCAUGAUCCCUAAUGUUGCCAUGUGCUCGCCCUUCCACAUCUGUCCAUGUUAUCUUUCUUCCUAUGAUUAAAGCCGAAGCUUAUCUAUUACUUACAUUCAAACCAAUGCUGUCAAAGGAACUCCACCAACUAGGAUACUUAUACACAUUCUAUAUGCUCUAUAUUUACUGUUAUUUCACAAUAUAACCUACUUCAACUGUGUUUUGAUAAGCAUUCAUUGCUUUAUGGGACUUGUUUCAAUGUUAUGGAUGUAUGACAAUUAUGUGUUUUGAACUCCUGUUGUAUAUUUCUUAUGUCGACAUUGCAGCUUGGAUUUUUGAAUCCACCUUUAUACAUAUGCAGUUCCAGUAUCUUCUCACUGUUACAGUUGUGUUUGCCGUAUAUUAAUUAAACCUGCUUGUCCAUCUCUUCCCUUGCAUUUACUUCUGCAUCACCAUUUACUUC
This 2896-nucleotide long non-coding RNA is filed under the name Citrus maxima (pomelo). RNAcentral's name for it is "long non-coding RNA (CMAX_LNC000894)". Lineage: Eukaryota; Viridiplantae; Streptophyta; Magnoliopsida; Sapindales; Rutaceae. The record is from RNAcentral.